This 376-nucleotide unclassified non-coding RNA is filed under the name uncultured Actinomycetes bacterium. RNAcentral describes it as "uncultured actinobacterium contains 16S-23S intergenic spacer region". The record is from RNAcentral. Lineage: Bacteria; Bacillati; Actinomycetota; Actinomycetes.
UCCGACUUGACGUCGGCAGUCUCGUUAGAGUGCCCGGCCGAACCGAUGGCAACUAAGGGCGAGGGUUGCGCUCGUUGCGGGACUUAACCCAACAUCUCACGACACGAGCUGACGACAGCCAUGCACCACCUGUACACGGCCCAAAAGGACCCGACAUCUCUGCCGGAUUUCCGUGUAUGUCAAACCCAGGUAAGGUUCUUCGCGUUGCAUCGAAUUAAUCCGCAUGCUCCGCCGCUUGUGCGGCCCCCCGUCAAUUCCUUUGAGUUUUAGCCUUGCGGCCGUACUCCCCAGGCGGGGCGCUUAAUGCGUUAGCUACGGCACGGAUCCCGUGGAAGGAAACCCACACCUAGCGCCCACCGUUUACGGCGUGGACUAC